CCAGUUGGACCCUGGACAUAGUGACUCUGCCUUGAUUAUGCAGAUGACUUGAAGCCUCUGAGGUUGGCAGAGCCACAAGAAAGAGAGCCUGGAUGAAAGAGAGCUGCCCACUGACCUGAAACACCCAAUUAUUUUAACAUGAGAGUGCCUAUGACUGGGUGGCAUUGUUCAUGUUGGUAAUGUAAAGUGCAAGUUGUAAUUGUGAUCUUCACCUGGGAAGUGCACCAUUUACCUGUACAUUGUACCUGUCAGAGAUGGGAUCUCGCUCUUGCUCAGGUUGGUCUCAAACUCCACCUCAGUCUCCAACAGUGCUAGGAUUACAGGCAUAAAGCCACCACGCCCAGUCACAACAAAGGACUUUUAAUUAAGUCAUCUGUCUUCUCAGAGCUAUUGGAACACUGGAUCAUUGUGAAGACUGAAGGGAACAGUUGCAACAUGACCACUUUUGGAGAAAAAUGUUGCCACCAUUUUCUUUCCAACAAUUCAGGGCUGCUUCACUUUUGUUAGUGGAUUUUCAUGGAGGCCGGGAUUCAUACUAUUGACUGACACUUAUUCUCUGGAUCAAACUGAAACACAUCCCUCAAAUAUGACCAGCAUUUCUUCAACCAUUCAGGAUGUGCUUUUGCUCAUCUGUCAAAGUGUGAGGCACUCAUUUGGAUGAAACUUUCCUAACUCAAAAGUUAUCACAGAGCAGGAUUUUGGACACUGCUGGCAAGCCAUUCUAUAGUGCCGCUUCAGUGCCCUUAAAUGUCACUCACUGUUUUCAGGAACCAUUUUGUCCACAGUGACGAUACUUAACCUCAGUCACAGUAACUUGUGAGACACCCACUCCUCUCCUCAUCUUCUCUUCGUUUUUUUUUUUUUUUUUACAGUUUUUGGCCGGGGCUGGGUUUGAACCCAUCACCUCCGGCAUAUGGGGCCAGAGCCCUACCCCUUUGAGCCACAGGCGCCAUCCCUCUUCUCAUCUUUCAGAGAAGUUCUGCCUCUUCUAAAUUCUUGAAACCACUGAAAAAUUGUCCACUGGGAAGGUCCCCCAAAGCCCACUGCAAAUGCUCAAGGCUUUGAGACUCCUUUAAUUCGCUUUUAAAAUGAUAGAAAACUAUUGCACAUAAAUGUUCUCUUCCCAGCUCCAUAGCUGACACUGAUUGUCAAAUAGAGGAAUGAAGCCUCCCAGCAACAGAAAUGAACUGAGCAAGUUGAAAGUUGCAUGGGUGAAACUUAACAACAACAACAAGGAUGCCAUUGUUGACUGUAUUUCUUGGAAGUGAAAAUAAUGGACCGGAACACAGCCUGUCUCCAAAUUUUUGUAGUGACCUUCAUAUAUGCAGGAUCUAGCCACUUAUUUGGGAGCUCCCAAAUUUAAGUGUUUUUAGGUCUUUUUUUUUUUUUUCAGAGACUUUCAGAAAAUCUGCCAGUUUCCUGCUGGGAAGUAUAAAUCUGGCUGCCAGCAUUCUGGGAUCCAGGUAGAAACUAGGAAAUGGAUUUUUCAGGAUUCAUAUGGAAACCUGCAUUCAUUCUCUGUUUGGAGUAUUUUGACUUAUCCUGACCUCUUGCUGUGCCUGGUUCAAUCUUCAGAAAACAAAUCAUCUUGUACCAGAGGGAGAAAAUAGUUCUAUGCCCUAUUUUCAUCCUAUGCCUCACUCCUAUUUUCUGAAAAUCUUAGUUCUUUGAUUUCUGAGUCUUUUUGAUGUUCUAUGUGAAUUGUAUCUUCUAAUACUAUAGUCUUUUUGAUGUGAAUCAUAGCUCUCUAAUGCUAUUAAUUUUUUCAAAAAGGGAAAAAACUAAAGCCAAAGCCUUGGCUCUCAGUUGUGUUUCUUUUUAUUAAAUCAUAACUGUAUAACAUUAAUGUAUUUAUGGGGUACAGUGUGCUGAUUUGAUAUAUAGUGUGGAAUGCUUAUAUCAAACUGGUUAACAUAACCAUCACCUCACUUAUUUGUUGUGGUGAGACAUUUAUAGUCUACUUUUUUUUUUUUGAGACAGAGUCUCACUAAGUCAUCCUUAGUAGAGUGCUGUGGCAUCACAGCUCACAGCAAUCUCAAACACUUGGGCUUAAGCAAUUCUCUUGCCUCAGCCUCCCAAGUAACUGGGACUACAGGUGCCUGCUGGGACUACAGGUGCCUGACACAACGCCCAGCUGUUUUUUGUUGCAGUUCUCAUUGUUGUUUAGCUGGGCUGGGCUGGGUUGGAAACUCACUGUAUGUGGCUGGUGCCAUAACCACUGUGCUACAGACGCCAAGCCACUCUACUUUUAAUAGUUUUGAAAUGUACCGUUGCAUUGUGCACAUUAGGUGAGGUCCCACCAAAUACCCUCACUCCUCCCAGCCCCUCUUCCUCUUCCCUCCUUCUUCCUGGACUAUAGUUGUGUUUUAUCAUUCAUAUGAAUGUGUAGGUGAUUAUAUAUUGGUUUCAUAACAGUAUUGAGUAUGCUGGAUAUUUUUUCUUCCAUUCAUGAGAUACUUUACUAAGAAAAAUAUGUUCUGGGCAUUUGGUUUGGAACUUCUUCUGUUUUGCUAAGUCAGUAACUUCUCAUCUAUUUACUUUCUAUCUAACAAACUUUCAUUUUCUUUUGGUAAUCUUUUGUCCUCUUUUAUCUCCUGUACUAUCUUUGCCCCUUUAUGAUUUUAUAACUUUUAAAAAGCAAUAGCUUUAGUGAGCUACUACUAUGCAUAUUCCACAUAACCAUAAAAUUCAUCUGAAGUGUAUAAUUCAGUGGUUUUUAGUAUAUUCACAGAGUUAUGCAACCAUCACCACAAUCAAUUUUAGCACAUGUUUUAUCAUCCCCCCAAAGAAACUCCAUGACCAUUAACUGUCAUUCAAUUUCCUCCUUUAUCCUCCACCAGCCCUAGGUAACCACUAUUCUCUUUUUUUCUCUCUGGACAUAAAUGGAAUUGCCUAUUCUCGACACUUGAUAUAAAUGGUAUCAUACAAAGGUGGCCUUUUGUGACUGGCUUCUUUCACUUAAUAUAUAUUUUCAAGGUUCAUUCAUUUUAUAGCAUGAAUCAGUACUUCAUUCCUUUCUGUUUUUACAUUCAUCAGUUGAUAAACAUUUGUGUUGUUUUCAUUUCUCAUAACAUCUAUCCUAGAAGGGGUGAAGUAGUAUCACAUUUAAGUUUUAAUUUGCAUUUCCCAGAUGGCUAAUAAUGCUGAACAUCUUUUUACAUGCACUUAUUGGCCACCUGUACAUCUUCUUAGGCAAAAUGUCCAUUCAUAUUCUUUGCCCAUUUUUCAAUUGGGCUGUCUUUUUACUAUUGAGUUGUAAGAAUUUUUUACAUAUUCUAGAUGAAGAUCUUUAUCAGAUACAUGAUUUGCAAAUAUAUUUGUGAGUUGUCUUUUCACUUUCUUGACGGUGUCUUUGGCAUCAUAAAACAUUAAAGUUUUAAAUUUUGAUAAAGUUCAGUUUACCUACUGUUUCUUUUGUUGCUUGUGAGUUACGUGUAAUAUCCAAGAAACCAUUACUUAACUGAAAGAAAGAAGGUCACAAAGAUUUAUGCCUAUGUGUUCUAAAAGUUUUAUUGUUUUAGCUUUUACAUGUAGGCUUAUGAUCCAUUUUGAGUUAAACGUGUAUAGGGUAUGAAUAUAUUCCUUUGCUGUCAUUUCAGUGGGGUAAUAUGCAUGCGUUUAGUCCAUCAUGUUCCUUGUCUGAAAUGCAUAUAUAAUCAAGUCUUAUAAAUAUUUCUCAAAUACUGGCAAAGAUAUAAUCUUUGUAUGCCUUUUGUUCACAAAAGAACCCUUUAGGAUAACAGUCUCAAGUUACCCUUCUGUUUCAUUAAAAUAAUUUAACCACUUUGGUCAACUGUGGUUUUCACUUAUUUGUAUUUCCUACUUAUAGUAUGUUCUUGCUUCCUAAAUAUUACACCUUAUGGAGAACAGAAAACAACUGUUUUCAUUUAUUUUUCUGUAUCACGAAGUAAACUUAUUCCAGGAAAAAGAUUAUCCUGCUCUUUCUUUUUUAUUUUUCCUCUUUUCUUAUUAUACAGAACAUAUCCUGAAGGUCCAGGUAAUUUUCUUCUAUUUACUCACUUAAGAUUUUGUU
Molecule: long non-coding RNA, 4033 nt
Organism: Nycticebus coucang (slow loris)
Lineage: Eukaryota; Metazoa; Chordata; Mammalia; Primates; Lorisidae
Exons: 6
Source: RefSeq, a predicted model, not a curated record